Molecule: long non-coding RNA, 631 nt
Filed under: Mus musculus (house mouse)
Lineage: Eukaryota; Metazoa; Chordata; Mammalia; Rodentia; Muridae
Description: long non-coding RNA chrX:70978280-70978911
Source: RNAcentral
AAUAGAUCUGUUGGGGCUUUGGGGCUUUGCAGACGCUGUCUGUCGUUGCCUGCUGCCACUUGCUGCAACCAUGGUCAACCCCGGUUUUCUUCAACAUCAUGGUCAAUGGGGAGCCCUUGGGCCACAUCUCCUUUGAGUUGUUUGCAGGCAAAGUCAAAGACAGCAGAAAACUUCCAUGCUCUGAGCACUGGAGUAAUAGGGUUUGGCUAUAAGGGUUCUUCCUUUUACAGAAUUAUUCCAGGAUUGGUGUGCCACGGUGGUGACUUCACACACCAUAAAGUCACUGGCUGCAGAUGCACCUAAGGAGAGAAAUUUGAGGAUGAAAACUUCUCAUCCUGAAGCAUACAGGUCCUGACAUCUUGUCCAUGGCAAAUGCUGAACCAAACACAAAUGGUUUCCAGUUAUUUAUCUGCACUGCCAAGACUGAAUGGCUGGAUGGCAAGCAUAUGGCCUUUGGGAAGGUGAAAGAAGGCAUCAACAUUGUGGAAGCAAUAGAGUGUUUUGGGUCCAGGAAUGGCAAGACCAGGAAGAAGAUCACCAUUUCCCACUGUGGACAACUCUAAUUUCCUUUGACUUGUGGGAAUUUUACCCAUCAAACCAUUCCUUCUGUAGCUCAGGAGAGCAUCCCUAC